This 519-nucleotide ribosomal RNA is filed under the name uncultured bacterium. RNAcentral's name for it is "bacterial SSU rRNA". It matches the Rfam family "Bacterial small subunit ribosomal RNA", at positions 28 to 531 of the family's 1533-position model. The record is from RNAcentral.
GACGAACGCUGGCGGCGUGCCUAACACAUGCAAGUCGAACGGGGGUAUUUAUUUCGAUGAAUACCUUAGUGGCGAACGGGUGAGUAACGCGUGAGCAACCUAUCCUUAAGAGGGGGAUAACAUCUGGAAACAGAUGCUAAUACCGCAUAAGACCACACUGCCGCAUGGCAGAGGGGUCAAAGGAGCAAUCCGUUUAAGGAGGGGCUCGCGUCCCAUUAGAUAGUUGGUGAGGUAACAGCUCACCAAGUCAGCGAUGGGUAGCCGAGCUGAGAGGCUGAUCGGCCACACUGGAACUGAGACACGGUCCAGACUCCUACGGGAGGCAGCAGUGGGGAAUAUUGGGCAAUGGGGGGAACCCUGACCCAGCAACGCCGCGUGAGGGAAGAAGGCCUUCGGGUUGUAAACGUGCUUUUGUUACGGAACGAAAGACCUUACUUCUAAUACAGGAGGGUCGAUGACGGUACCGUAAGAAUAAGCACCGGCUAACUACGUGCCAGCAGCCGCGGUAACUAGUCUACG